UCGUGCCGCUGGCCGGGCUGCUGCAGCGGCAGAGGCGGCGCGCGGGGCAGCCCCGGAGCCUCCUGCUUCCAGGCAGCGUGCACCGCUCUCAGCCUGAGCGCGCCACAGCAGCUGCAGGGCUCUGCACCCUUGUUAUUGGCUCUUACCAAUAGUGGCCCCAGGAGACCAGAUGGAUGGAGGGGGCAAAAGGUGUCAAGAGGAACAGGAUGAGUGGCACAACAAUUAUUUUUAUGCACUUGUUUAACAAGUAGCAUUUUACAUACCACAGGAGCUUCAGGUGGAGCUAUUCGGAGACCCUGCGAGAAGAUGCCAGCAAAGUUGGUAGCGCGGGAGCCAUGCCAGAGCAGCUGGCGAUUAUGAAGCUGUCUGAACGACUUGCUGGUUCCUGAAGAAAGAGAUGGGAAGACUUACAUUUUUAAUCUGAUAAAGCAGGAUUGUCUGAAGAACUCUCCUGGAAUCAAUGCUCAAGUUCUUUAAAAGCAGUAGAAUAGUUUUCAUCCUGUCUGAAGUCACACUGACAGAUUCCACCUGUAUAAAGCACACUGCUCUUCUAAAGCAAUGUUAGAAAGUCACUGCACUUUGACUUCCAGCUACACUGCACUUUACGUGAUCUAACCUGGGAACUAGUCAUCUACUGAGGUGACACCUGUCUUCUCCCCUGCCCCCACCAAACAGGUUGAAUGUGUUAGUUAUCCUGCUAGAAUUUUGGUGAGAGUUGCCUCCAUAAAUUAAAACCUGGACAAUUGUUUAUGAAUGAUA
Dermochelys coriacea (leatherback sea turtle) is the source of this 759-nucleotide long non-coding RNA. RefSeq lists it as uncharacterized. The transcript is spliced from 3 exons. The record is from RefSeq and is a predicted model, not a curated record. NCBI's taxonomy places the organism in Eukaryota, Metazoa, Chordata, Testudines, Dermochelyidae.